GCCACGGUUCCCCCAGCUCAUAGACUCUAGCUCUUUGAAUGUGUGGUUCUAGACUUGGAGAAUGAAGAGAAGCAGUUAAGCCAUGAGCGGUAGCACCUCCAUGAGGUUCUAUAUGAGGUUAUCUGGGAAGGGGAGUCUUCAGUCUUCAUCAACAACCUAUUCCAGUGUCUCCAAGGUCUUCAGCCAGGGAGCCCUUCUUUGUAUGCCGAUCCACGGUUCCUCUGUAUCCCGAAUUUUUCAUCUGUGGAUUCUACCAACAGCAACAGUAUUUGCUAUUGGAAAAAAAAAGAAAUCUGCAUUUAAGUGGAUCCAUACAGUUCAAGCCCGUGUUGUUUAAGGAUCCACUGUGCAUUUUUAUAGAGACUGGAGCAGAGAGGAAGAACUGAUGCAUAGAGUAUUGCCCGGGAGAGCAAAGCUGAGCAAGGCAUCAGCGUGAGACAUUCUGGUCGGGAUGCUCCAGAAGGAAGGCACCCAUAGCCCAGUGUGGAAUAUUGGCUUCCUGCCCCCUCUCCUGAUCCUCAGGACUGAUGCUCAACUGCUUCCUUUCCUGGGGAAAGGUUCCUUAGGGAGCCCUAAAUUCAGAACCUUCCCUCUUCCCGUCCCCACAGAGCAGCCCUGCCAAGUGUACAAGUAAAACCAACG
Camelus dromedarius (Arabian camel) is the source of this 642-nucleotide long non-coding RNA. RefSeq lists it as uncharacterized. The transcript is spliced from 4 exons. NCBI's taxonomy places the organism in Eukaryota, Metazoa, Chordata, Mammalia, Artiodactyla, Camelidae. The record is from RefSeq and is a predicted model, not a curated record.